RNAcentral lists this small RNA (150 nucleotides) under Streptosporangium roseum. RNAcentral describes it as "c-di-AMP sequence". It matches the Rfam family "c-di-AMP riboswitch aptamer (ydaO/yuaA leader)". Rfam says of the family: This family represents a conserved RNA structure found upstream of the ydaO and yuaA genes in Bacillus subtilis and related genes in other bacteria. The ydaO/yuaA element is thought to act as a genetic "off" switch for the ydaO and yuaA genes in its native state. Lineage: Bacteria; Bacillati; Actinomycetota; Actinomycetes; Streptosporangiales; Streptosporangiaceae. RNAcentral also lists the same sequence under 1 other name. The record is from RNAcentral.
AGCGCUGAACCGCCGAAUCCCCGGACCCGGGGAACCGGGGACCCACCCUUUAGUCCCCUGGGGUGAAUCCGAGGUGCCCCCGCACCCUCGGUAGGGCUACCUCCGGCCCGAACCCGUCAGCUAACCCGGUAGGCGGCCGAGAGAGGAGCC